UCCAGAAGAAGAAGAAGAGAGGGAAGGAGAAUAUCAGCGCAGAUGAGGAUAAAUCUGUUCUUGUGAUAUUCUGAGAGGAUUUUCAACAAAAAGCCUCAUCUCUCUUCGCCUAGAAAAGGCGGAUUCCGAAGCUUGACGUGGGAGGGGGACCCGAAGAGACAGGGGGAGAGAGAAGUUGCUCGUAAAAGAGGCCGAAAGUGGAGGGCAGAGGGUGAGAAAAAAGAGGAGGAGUAAACGAAGGCAUUGUUUUUUAAUUGGCGAAGCGAGGAGCUCGAAGGAAGAGAACCUAAAGAGAGAAAGAGAGCUCGCGAAGAGGGAGAAGCCAGAGGAGGAAAAAGCAGAGCGGUUUUGGUGUUCACCAAGGAAAACAACAAUGAGACCAAAGAGUCCUUCAGUGGGGAGACCCCCAACAUCUCAAGGCCCUAGCCAAAGUGAUUUUGGUUGGCUAUUCCGAGCCAUAGAGGAUUUAACUUCAGUUUUGAGUCAGUAUAUAGCCAACAACCACAACAGCAACAUCAACAACAACAAUAAUCAGAGUCAGACUGAAGUUUAUGCCAAUAAUACUGAGAGGUUCAUGAUGCUCAAUCCUCCAACCUUCACAGGUGGACCUCAUCCAAUGGUUGCUGAGAGAUGGGUGAGAAAGAUUGAAAUUUUUUUGAAGUGAUUGGUGUCACAUCCGAGCAGAAAGUGCAACUUGCUGCCUUUAUGCUUGAGGGAGAAGCUGAGAACUGGUGGAGCCUACAGGAGGAGUUCUUAGCCACCUGGGAUGGGAAAGAUUCCUUGAAGCUUUCAAUGCUAAAUACUUUCCAGAGUUUAUCCGGGACCAGAAAAAAUUGGAAUUUCUGAAACUUAAUCAGGAGAACAUGACUGUGGCAUGAUAGACUAGGAAAUUCAUUGAAUUGGGCUGCUUUGCACUAGAUAUAGUGGCUGACGAUGGAAGGAAAAGCCCGAAAAUUCCAGAGAGGGCUGAGGGAGGACAUCCAUGAUGAGGUGGCAAUGUUGGGACUGACCACAUACCCAGAAAUCCUGGGAAGGGCUCAAGUAAUAGAAGGGAUAAUAGAUGAGUGACACCGACAAGCUGGAAGUUCUAGGACGUUUGUGCGCGACAAAAGAAAUCAACCAGAGCUCAGGCAGCAAGACGAGAGGUAGAGAACAGUACCUAGAGCCCCUCUCAGAGUCCUGGCAGCAGGUAUAGGGAACAGUAUCUAGAGCACCUCUCAGAGUACCGACAGCAGGUACAGAGAAUAGUACCUAGUCCCCCUAGAUUGUAUUUUAGUAGUGUUCACACUUGCAAAUGAUACUCUACUUUCUGAUGUUUAUAAGUCAUUCAAUGUGAAAAUGUGUGCGCCUAUUCAUUGUUGUAGUUGGAGUUACCCUUCUACCUAGAGCCCCUUUCAUUGGUUCUGAAAAUGGUGUCAUACGAUGAAUUGAAAUGUGAUAGGAUGUAAUGUGAUGGAAAAUGUGAUAACUUGUGAUAAGAUUGGAUAAAUUGUGGCCAAGGUAUGGGACAAUAUUUGUGAAAAGAAUUUGAAAAGAAAAAGUCAAAUUCAGUCUUCCUGUAUGAGUUUAUUGAAUUCCUAUACGGUAUCAGCCACCAUGGGAUUCCAAACCUUCAAGAUAUCUCUUCUCCGAAUGCUAUCCAAUCUGUAUGGUUCUUAUUUUGCAACUGCCACCCUUAGAACCAUCUCGAGUUUGUCCUUAGCACACAGGGAAGCAGGCUCCACUUUCUGGUCGUUGAGCCAUAUAGCUGUAAAUAUUUAUUGCAAUGUCUCAACCAUGUGCUGGGGUUGCUUCAUCGGGAAUGCCUACUCGAGGAGUGUUGUAGCCCAAGACUAUGUUGGGGUGAUUUAGAGUGUGGCUAGAGCUCCCAGUCCCAUUGCACUUCAGGUUCAACAGAUCCUUAUGCUGCAAGGAACUCUUUUGGGCUUGCACUAGGGGUGAGGUUGGUGGUUCAUGGUAAGUUUGAGUUGGAGGAGGUUGGUAUGUGUUGAUUGAGCGCAGAGUUUCAACCAGCAGAUUCUGUAAUUUAAGGUUAUCUUUCAGCAAGUUUGGUAUCAUUUGUGCUGUAGAUCUCGGUCAUAAAGUCUUGCAGCUGUUGUUUCAAUCUUUUCAUGGAUUCUUCACUUUGAGAUCCCUUUUGGUUAUCCUUUCCUUUGUCUCAAUCAUGGGGCCUUUCCUUUGUUUUUCGCUAAUUUAGAUACUUAAGAUGCAACUCCACCAAGUUCGACCAGCUCCGGUACCAAGUUUUCAGAGUCCUGGUUCAUGAGCCAUGGGACCUGGCCCUUAUAGAAGCUCGGGAAGAAUGUGGAUUAAGAAUGGAGAUUUUUGUUUACUUCUCAUUAUUACAGUUUAAUUUUAAUUUUAUUAUUUGAAUUUAAUAAACAUUUAUCAUUAUGUUCCA
Molecule: non-coding RNA, 2401 nt
Organism: Carica papaya (papaya)
Lineage: Eukaryota; Viridiplantae; Streptophyta; Magnoliopsida; Brassicales; Caricaceae
Source: RefSeq, a predicted model, not a curated record